Gorilla gorilla gorilla (western lowland gorilla) is the source of this 73-nucleotide non-coding RNA. The record is from Rfam. Lineage: Eukaryota; Metazoa; Chordata; Mammalia; Primates; Hominidae.
GGAAGGGUAGCCCAGCAAUGAAAAGCUUGGGCUCUGGAACCAGACUGCCUGGGUUCAAAUCUCAGCUCUGCCA